Columba livia (rock pigeon) is the source of this 2385-nucleotide long non-coding RNA. RefSeq lists it as uncharacterized. Lineage: Eukaryota; Metazoa; Chordata; Aves; Columbiformes; Columbidae. The record is from RefSeq and is a predicted model, not a curated record. The transcript is spliced from 2 exons.
ACGCGGCGGCGGCCGCGCCUGCGCAGAAGGUGGAGCGGGCGAGGCGCCUCGUGCGCGGCGGCGGCGGUGGGGCCGUGAGGGCCGGGCUCUCAUUCCCCUCCCCGGGAGCUCGUCUUCCUCCUGUGCUGGCCCACCGCGGCGGCCUGGCCCGCCUCAGCUCCCUCAGGCUCUCGCAUGAGGCCCGUGGAUGCGGCAGCAGGGGAGACUGCCCCCGGGAAAGCACCGAAGGCCUGAGGGAGCCUUGACGCUGCCUCAGCGACGAGCCUGUGCGCCAAAGAAGCGAGUGCACAGCGACAGGAACAGUGCCCCUCAGGGCCCGGCGGCCAGGGAUUUUCACUCUUCAGAACCGUCACAAGCAGCAAGUUACCAGUACACAAAAACAAUAUGCUUUAAUCACUGAGUUCUAUUCCUGCUUCACAAGGUCUGUGGAAAAGACCGACAAUACUUCAGUACUGGAUUUUUUGCACAGACCCGGGAAAGGAAAUAGAUGUCACCAGAGUUUAAGCCUGAUGUGCUCUAGCCACAUCUCACAGUUGGCCACAAUUUACCAUUAUUGAUUAGUAUAUCUGCUUCUUGCAAAUUAUCUGUUUCAAAAAGGGGACCAAAUUUUCAAUUUUCACCUAAUGCGGGUCUAAUUAAGGCUAUUCUGGUAUAUUUGAUACUAAAAUACUCUCUGGGAGUCCUUUUCAUUAAAUCCCGUCAGAAUUAUCAUUUUCAAAAAUGAAAACAUUUAAAAUAGGUGUUUGAGUUGAAAUGCUGAUGCAGCGGCCGGGUCAGUGUUUUCUUAUCACGUCAGUAUAGUGUCAUCGAUCUGUUCCUCCGAGUCCGCCUGGGCCGCCAGCUUCCUCAGAGAUCGCCUGCAGCUUUCGUUGAGAAGCUCCAAGCUGGCAGCAUCUAGAAUCUUGGAAACCGACUGUGGAAGGAAGACAAUGCCAAUUAGCGAUUCCUUACGACGUACCAUUCAAAAUAAGAAUGGAAGCGUCGUAAAAGCUGUAUUUAUCUUAAAAUCUUUCAAACGUACCAAAAUCCUUCAUCUGGUUUUAAGAUUCCAAACAUGGGAACUAUCCAAAAGUAGCUGAGACUUAGAAAAGCAGUCUGGAAAUGGCUGUAUGAAGUAGUCCAUCCCAAAAUACUCUCUCUAGCAGCACUACUGCUGUGGUGGGAUUAUACAAGUGACAAAAGUACUGAAGUCACAGUCCCAGCUGAGGAACUACAGCACAGUAAGGGCUGAAGGCAUUUUGAAAGCAAGGCUACCACGUUAAACAUGGGAGUUAUGUUAAACACCUUGACUUCAGUAAUACCACACUGUAUGGCUGUACAGUAUUAGCAUCACAUAUUUAUUCAAGGCUUUGCACAAGAAUACUGAUGCAGGUUUAAAUCCAAACAGGAAUGUCCCACUCCGGCUAUUUCCUAACAGACUGAGGCUCCUGGCGCAACACCAAACCAUACACAGAGCAAGGUGACACACCUCUACCAACCAUCACAUUUUCUUCUGUCUCAUACCUCAAGCACUUCUUCACCCGCUCUCAUCUUCAGAAGGUUGACAAUAGCUUGGUCACUAUAGGCUCUCACACUGGUGUUUUUGUCCUUUGUGUUGUCCAGAAGUGCUUUGAGAAUUGGUUUAAUUGUCGGAGGAUCCAGUGAGGGAAGAUGGUUUUUAUUUGCCCACCAGAUCAUCUUUUCUGCCACUAGCUUUAUGUCACUGGAUGAGUUCUGGAGACACUGAAGAAGACAAAGAUGGACUUAAAUGCAGAUAUACCAAGGACAGGUAUUUAAAGCAGUAGUUAAUCUUUUUAAUAUUAAAGUCUUUUAAACUACAACAGGAAAACCAAACAGUUUUCAACUCACAUGUACACAAGAGAUAAACUUGUUAGCACCAAGUCUGACUAAACUGUGUAACAGUAAAAGAAGAUCAAACCCUGAAAACAAGACACAUUUGCAAAAUAAAACUUCUGAAAAUGAGGGUGGCAGCAGGGUCAUAGGCUUCUGUCAACUCUCAAGCAAUGACAAUGACCACUAAGUGCAGCAAAAGCACCUCUAAAAUACACUCAAUCAGCAGCAACAGCCAAGUCAGUCUCUGGUUGGAGUAUGAGGCGCAUUUCAACAGUGGACUUAAUUUUAAAACUAAAAAGUAGAGCUCCGUAUUUUUUAUUUAAUCUCAGCAUAUUUAAAACAUGAAAGCUGACAUCUGAAUGUCAGCUGCACUAAUACUUGAUAAAGGUAUUGUGACAAUGGUGAUACUUGGAUUUUAAUGCAAUACUAGGAUAGAAAUUAAUAUAUAAAUGUAGGAUUUCAAACAAAAAGUCUGCUUUGGAGAAUAAUGGUCUGCAUCACGUCAGUUUGCAUGUUUGGUAGUUUUUUAAAUAAAUUGAAAAUAAAUGUAAA